UCCAUUUCAUUGCAUCCUGGCCAAUAUACUAUGAUAAAGUAUCUCCCGUCAAAGUCAUCAUGAAUAGCUUCAUACGGAUUUUCUCAUCCCUUCCGACUCCUACCAGCUUGUCACAAUACAUUCUCAAGUGAACCCUGGGAUUACCUAUAAUGUCGAACAUCUCGAACUUGGGAGGUUUGUACCCCUCCGGGAGCUCAACAUCUGGCUGUACACAGAGAUCUUCGUAAUUCAACCCUUCAACACCUUUGUUACCUUCGAAGCCUUGGACCCAACUAGUCAAUUUCUUGAUCUCAGCGGUCAAAUUCUGGAUGAGGGAACCCUUAUCAUCUGAUUCGGGUGAACUUGUGAUUGGCUGAGUGUAGUGGGGUAUAG
RNAcentral lists this long non-coding RNA (372 nucleotides) under Nicotiana benthamiana. RNAcentral describes it as "long non-coding RNA (NBEN_LNC017887)". Lineage: Eukaryota; Viridiplantae; Streptophyta; Magnoliopsida; Solanales; Solanaceae. The record is from RNAcentral.